RNAcentral lists this long non-coding RNA (1806 nucleotides) under Citrus x clementina. RNAcentral's name for it is "Citrus clementina (C. clementina) long non-coding RNA (CCLE_LNC006150)". Lineage: Eukaryota; Viridiplantae; Streptophyta; Magnoliopsida; Sapindales; Rutaceae. The record is from RNAcentral.
CCCGCGGCUUAUUUUUAGCACACGGAGGUGCCUCACAAAGUUUCGCGCCAUUCCGAGUCUGGCGGACGAAGUCGGCCAGCCUCACCCCCCAAGGCUAUAGCCCACCCGUUUUUGUGGCCUUUUUCCGCUGGACGAACUUGGCGCCCCGGCCUUCGGGCGGUUAUUUUUGGGUGCAGCUGUGCCCGUAGCCUUUUUUUCGUACACGGAGGCACCUCGCAAAGUCCCGUGCCAUUCCGAUUCCGGCGGACGAAGUUGGCCAGCCCCACCCCCCAAGGCUAUAGCCCACCCGUUUUUGUGGGCUUUUUCCGCUGGACGAACUUGGCGCCCCGACCUUCGGGCGGUUAUUUUUGGGCGCGGCGACGGAGGCACCUCGUAAAGUCCCGCGCCAUUCCGAGUCCGGCGGACGAAGUUGGCCAGCCCCACCCCCCAAGGCUAUAGCCCACCCGUUUUUGUGGCCUUUUUCCGCUGGACGAACUUGGCGCCCCGGCCUUCGGGCAGUUAUUUUUGGGUGCGGCAGUGCCCGCGGCCUAUUUUUGGUACACGGAGGUGCCUCGCAAAGUCUCGCCCCAUUCCGAGUCAGGCAGACGAAGUUGGCCAGCCCCACCCCCCAAGGCUAUAGCCCACCCGUUUUUGUGGGCUUUUUCCGCUGGACAAACUUGGUGCCCCGGCCUUCGGGCGGUUAUUUUUGGGCGCGGCUGUGCCCACGGCCUAUUUUUGGCACACGGAGGUGCCUCGCAAAAUCUCGCGCCAUUCCGAGUCCGGCGGACGAAGUUGGCCAGCCCCACCCCCCAAGGCUAGAGCCCACCCGUUUUUGUGGGCUUUUUCCGCUGGACAAACUUGGUGCCCCGGCCUUCGGGCGGUUCUUUUUGGGCUCGGCUGUGCCCGCGGCCUAUUUUUGGCACACAGAGGCACCUUGCAAAAUCUUGCGCCAUUCCGAGUCCGGCGGACGAAGUCGGCCAGCCCCACCCCCCAAGGCUAUAGCCCACCCGUUUUUGUGGCCUUUUUCCGCUGGACGAACAUGGCGCCCCGGCCUUCGGGUGGUUCUUUUUGGGCGCGGCUGUGCCCGCGGCCUAUUUUUGGCACAUCGAGGCACCUUGCAAAAUCUCGCGCCAUUCCGAGUCCGGCGGACGAAGUCGGCCAGCCCCACCCCCCAAGGCUAUAGCCCACCCGUUUUUGUGGCCUUUUUCCGCUGGACGAACUUGGCGCCCCGGCCUUCGGGCGGUUCAUUUUGGGCGCGGCUGUGCCCGUGGCCUAUUUUUGGCACACAGAGGCACCUCGCAAAAUCUCGCGCCAUUCCGAGUCCGGCGGACGAAGUUGGCCAGCCCCACCCCCCAAGGCUAUAGCCCACCCGUUUUUGUGGGAUUUUCCGCUGGACGAACUUGGCGCCCCGGCCUUCGGGCGGUUAUUUUUGGGCGCGGCUGUGCCCGCGGCCUAUUUUUGGCACACGGAGGUACCUCGCAAAGUCUCGCGCCAUUCCGAGUCCGGCGGACGAAGUUGGCCAGCCCCACCCCCCAAGGCUAUAGCCCACCCGUUUUGUCGGCUUUUUCCGCUGGACGAACUUGGCGCCCCGGCCUUCGGGUGGUUAUUUUUGGACACGGCUGUGCCCGCGGCCUAUUUUUGCCACACGGAGGCGCCUCGCAAAGUAUCGCGCCUUUCCGAGUCCGGCGGACGAAGUUGGCCAGCCCCACCCCCCAAGGCUAUAGCCCACCCGUUUUUGUGGCCUUUUUCCGCUGGACGAACUUGCGCCCCGGCCUUCCGGCGGUUAUUUUUGGGUGCGGCUGUGCCCGCGGCCUAUUUUUGGGACAC